RNAcentral lists this unclassified non-coding RNA (163 nucleotides) under uncultured Sordariomycetes. Its description in RNAcentral is "sequence contains ITS1". Lineage: Eukaryota; Fungi; Ascomycota; Sordariomycetes. The record is from RNAcentral.
CUGAAUGUUACCAAACAUAAACCCUUGUGAACCUUCUGUAUUUCUGCCUUGGCAGGUAAUCCCAGGGCGGGAUUCUGGGCCUCUUCGGGGGCACCUGCCAGUGGUGGAGCAUUUUCAAACUCUGAAUUAUAGUGGACUUCUGAGUGUCUUCCAAAAUAAGUUA